Molecule: long non-coding RNA, 5256 nt
Organism: Colossoma macropomum (tambaqui)
Lineage: Eukaryota; Metazoa; Chordata; Actinopteri; Characiformes; Serrasalmidae
Exons: 2
Source: RefSeq, a predicted model, not a curated record
CUUUUCUUUUUUUUUCUUUCAUCUUGAAUCUUUUUAUGCAGAAUUUCUCUCGUUUUGUGGACCUAAUCCAGACUAAAGCUUUACGCUAAUACGCUGAUCUCGCUUUGCGCCCUCUCCUUCGGAUUUCAGCCGCGUGGUGCAGUGCUGGAGCUUGUCUCCACACGUUUUCUCAGCACUUUUGUUUUUCUUUUUAAUGAUAAUUAUUGUGAAACAGACUUGGGAGCUUAAAGGAAUAGCCUGACCAAACUUGCUAACGUUGAACGGAAGCUGGUAGCUAUCAGUGGUUUGCCUCAUGCUAGUUUGGUAGCUGCUUGUUUUCUGUGAUUAUUAGCGACAUUAGCUUUUGCUGACACAACUAUUCCUUUGUCUAGCUGAUGCGAGGCGUGGCACCUUUAGCACGUCGCUUUUAUUUUUUAUUUUAUUUUUGCUUUUUUUGCUUUUCUUGGCUGAGACUUUGCCCAACAUGUGUAAACGUGUAUGUGUGGGGGAGGGAAUGCUGACCGGUAUGGCUCGGUUUGCGUGGCUGAUUGUUUCAUUUCGUUGUGCUGGUUUGUAAAGGACUUUUAUUUUGGCUAGUGGCAGAUAUGAGUGAGAUUUUCUUCCAUGUUAGUUGAUGCAAAUGUGCAGAUCUUGAAUGUUGUGCUAAUUAGCAAAUAGACACACCCUUGGCUACUACUACCAACUUUUCCUCACUUCAGUUUACUCUUUCAUUUUUACUCGUUUUUUUUGUUGUUUUUUUUAGAAUUACUUUUAUAUUUUUGAUCAGACUUUCAACAAAGAACAAACGGAGAGCUUGUCUGGUUUUUGGAGUGCGUGUCUUGUUUUUUGGCUCUGGGAAGUUUUUGUGUCUCUUACUAAUUAGGGAACACGUCAGAACACUGUUUGCUGCUAGAGUGUGUGAUUGAUUGAUUAAUAGAUUGAUCGGUUGAGAUAUUGGGUGAUUGAUUAGACAGGUGAUAUCUUUAUUUGAACCCUCCCCAGUUGGCUUAUCCAGGCUCCGCCUACAAAUGCGUUUUUUUUCCCCAAAAAUACUGUUGUGAGGGUGGUCAAGCUUUCAACCUGACAACUCUGUUUGUAUCAAAAUGCGUAAAAUUAAUUUAACAAUUAAACAUUUAACAAUAUUUAGGUGUUUUGCUAAUGUUUGCUAAUUUCGGAUGAUAUUUAUUUUUAAUGCCUGAAUGGUCACACUGCUAGUGAGCAUAAUCAAGCUAAAGUUAGCAAGGUUAGCAUCAUUUUCAUUCUAGCUAGUUUCAAUUAUCUCCAGCUGGGUCUGUCACAAUCUUGAAAUUUUAACACAGUACAAGCCUGAAAUGAUUGGCCAGUUAGCUGUCUAGCUUUCUUGCUAUUGUAGCUCCGAGCUGAUGAUGCACACAGCUUGAACUCAAAUAAACAGACAUAAUUCACCACGUCUUCUAAAUAAAUUAUAAGCAAACAUCAAUUAAACAAAUGUUGCUCACCAGCGCCCUCUAAACGCGUGCUUAACAAACAUUGAAUAAACACACAUCGCUCACCGCCGCCCUCUAAAGGUAUUAUUAACAAACAUCAAAUAAACAAAUGGUACUCACCGCCACCCUCUAGACAAUAAACGUCCUUUAGACAAUAAACGUUGCUCACUGCUGCCCUCUAAAGGCGUCCUUUAGACAAUAAACGUUACUCACUGCUGCCCUCUAAAGGCGUCCUGUACAAACAUCAUAUAAACAAAUGUUACUCACCGCCGCCCUCUAAAGGCAUCCUUAACAAGCAUUAAACACACAUCGCUCACCGCCGCCCUCUAAAGGUUUCCUUUAGGCAAUAAGUGUUGCUCGCUGCUGCCCUCUAAAGAUGUCCUUUAGACAAUAAACAUUGCUUGCUGCUGCCCGUCUAAAGGUAUUAUUAACAAACAUCAAAUAAACAAAUGUUACUCACAGCCGCCCUCUUAAGGCGUCCUUUAGACAAUAAACGUUGCUCACUGCUGCCCUCUAAAGGUGUCCUGCACAAAUAUCAAAUAAACAAAUGUUACUCACCGCCACCCUUUAAAGGCAUCCUUAACAAGCAUUAAACACACAUCGCUCACUGCCGCCCUCUAAAGGUUUCCUUUAGGCAAUAAGUGUUGCUCGCUGCUGCCCUCUAAAGGUGUUAUUAACAAACAGCAAAUAAAUUAAAUAAACAAACAUUCCUCGCUGCUAUCCUGUAAAGGUGUCAUUGUAAGAGCAGUGAUAACUGCAUUUCCUGCUUUGUUUUAUUUGCCUUAACCCAACAAAAUGUUGUGCCAUAAACAUAGGAACAUAAAAUAAUUGCGUGCAGGCAAUUAUGUAAUAAUUGUGACAGGCCUAGCGAAAUCAUAGUGCAGCAGUACGCAGCCUCACUACAGUAGACACGUAAGAAGGUAAUUGUGGGCGGAGCUUGGACGGGACAAUUGCAUAAUGCUGUACGACCCCUGUAGAUCUGACACGAACGUUCUUUUCUGCAGAGAGAAAGUGAGACAGAAAUGGUUACUGUACUUAUAUAGAUAUUUACAUUUUGUUUUUCUUCCCAUAUUUGCCUGAAAUUUGAUGUGGCUAAACUGUUUGUGUAACUUACAGAGGUAUAUGUGUCCAUCCCCGCUACGAUAAUGUUGCUAGGAAUAGAUUUCAGUCUGGCUACUUUUUUUUUUUUUUGUUUGUUUGUUUUGGACAUAGUAAACCUGCCCAGUGUGUUUGAGUGCUUAUGUGGGAGCAGUUUUUUAGUCAUUUUUUCAAAAACGUAAGCCUUGAGUUGUCUUUCUUGAACCUCACAGGGUAAUUUAUUAAAAUUUAUUAAAAUUUGAAAUGUAACAAAACUGACAAUCUAACAUUGUAUAGCUAAUCUCAACACAAAGUGCCCCCCCCGGUUUGCCCUGGACUUUAGACUUUGGCACUUUGUUGUGUCCGUAUGUAACCGAGUUUGGCCAAAUAGUGAGCAGACGGCCCCUUUGAGGGCGUUUAAGGCUGGCUAUUUUUGUAGAAAUAUAAUAGAUCAUCUAAAAUGAGCAGAAAUCACAAUAGUAGUCUGAGAAAAUGAAAGGAAUGUGCUGUUAUACACAUUUUAAAGUGUGUAAAAAAUCUGCUUUACGAGAGUGGACCUGACGUGCGAUGACUCUAAAAGGAAACUGUUAAUGCUUUUAACUUCUAAAUAAAGCAUUUAUAACACGGCACCUACCAGUGAUGUUAUUAAAACACUACCGUGGUGAUUGACUGGAUUAUCCUGUACGUUUCAGGACUGAAAUUUGCUACCAAAAACGAGGCUGUUUCAAGAAAGAUUGGUUCAUAAGCUGAGAUGACACUGUCAGAAGUCAUUCAAAUGCUUUUUGUUCUGUUUCUUUUGGCUAAUUUAGUGCUUACGGAUGUGUUACGAAUGCUUUUAGCCACAGUGCUAAAGUUUCAGUAACACAACAGACAUAAGCAAUGCAUAACACUUAACCAUGAAUAACCCUAAAUACAUGUUUAUGUUGGUGGUAGGGUUGCCAGAUCACCGUGUUACAGCAUCAGCACGGGCACACACAUGCUGUUACAACCCAGCUGCCUACAUGAGAGGUCACCAGAGGUCAUUUCCGCAGAUGAGCCUCGGCCCUGGACCGUUUUGCACACUUAGUCGUGAUGUUUUUCAUUGGAAAUCGUGUUUAUUUUCGAUUUAGGGUUAAUCUACAGCCGGUAACGCUGCUCUCCGUGUGUAGGUCAUGAUAACACAACCUUCUGAAUGUGUUUCAGUUUCGGAUCCUGUAGUUAAAAGUGCUGGCGAUGUCGAUGUUUAUGAGGAUGAAACGGACAUGGCCUUUUCAUGUAAAUACCAUGCAGUUAACUUUAGCCUUAAUCCCUCCGGUCCCCGAGUCCACCGCCCCCCUUACCCCGAUUAAAGCGAUGGUUUUGCGCAAAAACAAAUGUACAGUUUUACCUGGAGCUGAAUUGUAGUUGAUGAGGCUUGUUUGGUGUCUGAAGUUUGCUUCUUCACUGUCGGUUGCACCGUUUUUUUCCAAGCGACCAUUCAAGCUCGUUCAGAGCGCAGUUCAGUUUUAUUAACUCUAAAGCACGACUGAUGUGUCGCUUAUAUUCCUAGUCAUGUGUUUUCUUUUUCAAAAAGGUCAUUUGUGAAAAAAGAUCUCUGAAAUUCUUCGGCUCAGGUCACAUUCUUUAUAUAUCACAUGAACACAACAGUGGUAUUAAGUAACACUUCAGAGUUCAGAGUGGUUUGGUGUGAAACGCUCUGUUCUAGAGAAACUUACCGAGUCAGAACUUUUCACAGUGGUGGUGAUAGGAACCAGACGUCCACCUCUAAAAGCUCCCUCACAGAAAGUUCCUACAGUAAACGGUUAUGAAUUCACUGCCUGAUGACUGAGACACUGUUUUAUGAUAGUUUUAAGAAGAUUUUGGCCUUAAAAUUCGUUCAUGGUGGAGGGAUACAUGCAGGAGGCAAAAAUAGUCCCCAAAGAAAACUUAUUAUUUCAGAUUUUUCCACUAUUUUCCAUCAUCAACAUUCAUAUAAACUCAGAUGACUCAUGUAGGUUCACUGGUGGUUCUGGAUAGUAAAUAAAAUGUCUAUAUUUGUGUAUAUUUGUAAUUUCUAUCACCAUCACUGUAAAUUGGUGGAUUUCCCUUUUAAUGUGUUAGCAGUUUGACACGGUGUGAUGAUUUAUGCUGUUAGCACCAAGCUAAAUGCUAUAAUACAUAAAAAAUUGUUAAAGAUAUUAAUGAUGAUGUUUUUAGCCAAAACUAAAGAAGAAGAAAACUUCAGACACAUCUUGGCUGAUCAGCUACAUUUGCGAGUUACAUAAGAGUGGAAAAAACUGUAUGUGGUCAAAUUAUCGCUUUAAAUGAGAAUGUGUAAAUGAAAGUUUUAGUGUAAACGAAACCCCAGUGCUGAACCUCGUGCUUUUGUGUAAAGGGCGACCAGUUUCACAGCUGUGGAAACAGUGGUGUGUCCACUCACUCGUCUCGCUCUCACACACACACACACUCCCACGUGACCCCGCCCUCUUUUCUUUUCUGCACGUUGAUUGGUUUCGGUUGAUUUUAGCCAACAGUUGCCCUCCUAAGCUAAGCUAUUUUUAUUAAAUGAUUAAUAUGUAUAUUUGUAUUUUCAUUAUAAAUAUGUACACAGAAUGAUGUGAGUAAUCAAGGAAAAUCGCUCCCUCUCCUAACACAUUGUGACCCCCACCACAGGCAUCCUUUAACUGUCUGACUUUUUUUGUUUUUUGGGUUUUUUUGGGUUCUUGUCAUUUUAAUCUUUUCAGACUGGAAAUAAAACCUAUUUUAUUUGAAAAUG